Molecule: ribosomal RNA, 488 nt
Filed under: uncultured Oceanospirillales bacterium
Lineage: Bacteria; Pseudomonadati; Pseudomonadota; Gammaproteobacteria; Oceanospirillales
Description: bacterial SSU rRNA
Rfam family: Bacterial small subunit ribosomal RNA
Source: RNAcentral
CCUACGGGAGGCAGCAGUAGGGAAUAUUGGACAAUGGGCGCAAGCCUGAUCCAGCCAUGCCGCGUGUGUGAAGAAGGCCUUCGGGUUGUAAAGCACUUUCAGCGGGGAGGAAACGCCAUGGGUUAAUACCCUGUGGCUAUGACGUUACCCGCAGAAGAAGCACCGGCUAAUUUCGUGCCAGCAGCCGCGGUAAUACGAAAGGUGCGAGCGUUAAUCGGAAUUACUGGGCGUAAAGCGUACGUAGGCGGUUGAUUAAGCAGGAUGUGAAAGCCCCGAGCUCAACUUGGGAACUGCAUCCUGAACUGGUCAACUAGAGUACAGCAGAGGAGAGUGGAAUUUCUCGUGUAGCGGUGAAAUGCGUAGAUAUGAGAAGGAACACCAGUGGCGAAGGCGACUCUCUGGGUUGAUACUGACGCUGAGGUACGAAAGCGUGGGGAGCAAACAGGAUUAGAUACCCUGGUAGUCCACGCCGUAAACGAUGAGAACUA